GUGAUUGAUUUUUAUCUGAGAGUAAACUAAAUAUUACUAAAAUUGCUGUAAUUAUUUUAAGAGUUUCACAAGGAGAACACAACUUUUAACAAUAAGACAUUCCCAGUUUUGUGUACCAAGGCAUGACUUUAUUUCUGUCCACAAGUGCUUACGUAGGUCUUGUUCUUUUCUCUGUCAGAAGACAGUGUCUGGGACAAGAAAAAAUUUAGGCUCAAAACAAAUAACAUUGAAGAGUUUAGUGAUUCUCACUUGAAGCACUUUGUGAGCUGAAUCUUCUCUGGAUGGGGAGAAAAACAGGCAAGCUGGAACGGUGUUCUGGGAUCUGUGUGAGUUAAAUCUGCCUGCAAAGAUUUGAGUGCCAGUGCUGGAAACAUGGGAAGGGGUGGAACUGUGGCUUGGAGCAGAGCAGGGAGGAGUUGGGGUGGGGGGUAGAAAGUGAGAUCUUGCCUUUUGGCAGCAGCAGCAGCAAGCAGUUAGAUGUUAUCAGCAGGGUGUUAAAUGCAGCCAGAAUUUCUGCUUCACUGGUGGGGUUGUUUCUGCUCCAUCAUGUGAACUCUCAAUGCAGACAUCCAGUUAGCGAGUUGGACCAGCUUACUGAUCUUGGCUGAAAACUAGUCCUGCCACCAAGUAUGGGAAAACUUCCUCCUGACAAGCAAGGUCAUCCUGCUCUGGCUGCAAGGCUUGCUGCACAUGCAGCUGUGAUGAGAGGCCUGGGGGCAAAGACAAGAGUACUCCCUCACCUUGCCUAGGAGUGCUGGGGCAAGUGGGAAGUGUGGGUCCCAGUUUCACUGUGAGAAGUGCAUUUUGCAUCUUCAGUCUGGUGAUAUGCAAGACCUCACUCAGGUUACAUGCAAAACAUGGUCAGCCAGGCUAGUGUCACCCUGCUGUCCUUCUACUUACCUGGCAGUUCUACAAGAAGACGUCUUACUGUCUUGUUUAGUCACAAAUACACGUUUUUCAGUUUCAGAACUUAAGUAGCAUUUUGAGAAAUUGAGGAAGGUGGGUAUGAUUUUUUAGAGCAAAACUACUUGUACUAGGCACCUGCCUUUUUCUCCUGAAAGAUGGGCAAACCAGUGAAAUAAUAGAGAGCACAUGCUACCUCUGAGAGACUGAGGCUGAGAUAAAGUUAUUUGGUGUGUGUUUUGAUCAGCAAAUAAUUCUCAACAGAAUUAACACACAAGUCUUCCUGGAGCCAGAGUUAAACAUGUAUAAAAGUUUUGGAUGUCUCAAGGGUCUGACCACACCUUUAUGCAAGUAACUGUUCUGUAGUUGAAGGCAGUGCAGAUUACUAUUGUUGUGAUACCAUACAUUUGGGAGCAAAUGAUGUGUGACUACUAAUUCUUGUGUGGUGGCAACUGUUCCUCAGGAAAUGUAUGAACUGGGUUGUGCAGUGCAAGUGCACAGCCAACAGUAUGAUCUUGGUGAAGUGCUGGGGCAUACCAAAGGUGUAGUUUAAAAGAGUGGUGACUGUAACAGACUGUAGGUCAACUCACAAGUGUUUUGGGGAGAGGUGAAAGUUUGAAAUAGUGAUUUGCUACAGUGAUACCUGUAUAGAUAAAUGGAGUUAAGCAGACUUGUAAUUUUGUUUCCUUUGUGGUAUGGGAGGCAAAGUCCUCAAUAUCCACAGGUUAGGUUGGCAAAGAAAAA
Pezoporus occidentalis (night parrot) is the source of this 1647-nucleotide long non-coding RNA. RefSeq lists it as uncharacterized. The record is from RefSeq and is a predicted model, not a curated record. The transcript has 2 exons. Lineage: Eukaryota; Metazoa; Chordata; Aves; Psittaciformes; Psittacidae.